Molecule: ribosomal RNA, 433 nt
Filed under: uncultured bacterium
Lineage: Bacteria
Description: partial 16S ribosomal RNA
Rfam family: Bacterial small subunit ribosomal RNA
Source: RNAcentral
AACGAACGCUGGCGGCAUGCCUAACACAUGCAAGUCGAACGAGACCUUCGGGUCUAGUGGCGCACGGGUGCGUAACGCGUGGGAACCUGCCCUUAGGUUCGGAAUAACUCCCCGACAGGGGUGCUAAUACCGGAUAAUGUCUUCGGACCAAAGAUUUAUCGCGUUUGGAUGGGCCCGCGUUGGAUUAGCUAGUUGGUAGGGUAAAAGCCUACCAAGGCGACGAUCCAUAGCUGGUCUGAGAGGAAGAUCAGCGACACUGGGACUGAGACACGGCCCAGACUCCUACGGGAGGCGGCAGUGGGGAAUAUUGGACAAUGGGCUGAAGCCUGAUCCAGCAAUGCCGCGUGAGUUAUGAAGGCCUUAGGGCUGUAAAGCUCUUUUACCCGUGAUGAUAAUGACAGUACCGGGAGAAUAAGCUCCGGCUAACUCCGUG